CCUACGGGUGGCAGGGGGGAAUAUUGGACAAUGGGGGCAACCCUGAUCCAGCCAUGCCGCGGGUGUGAAGAAGGCCCUCGGGUUGUAAAGCACUUUCAGUGAGGAAGAACGCCUGGUGGUGAAUACCCAUCAGGAAAGACAUCACUCACAGAAGAAGCACCGGCUAACUCCGUGCCAGCAGCCGCGGUAAUACGGAGGGUGCGAGCGUUAAUCGGAAUUACUGGGCGUAAAGCGCGCGUAGGUGGCUUGAUAAGCCGGUUGUGAAAGCCCCGGGCUCAACCUGGGAACGGCAUCCGGAACUGUCAAGCUAGAGUGCAGGAGAGGAAGGUAGUAUUCCCGGUGUAGCGGUGAAAUGCGUAGAGAUCGGGAGGAAUACCAGUGGCGAAGGCGGCCUUCUGGACUGACACUGACACUGAGGUGCGAAAGCGUGGGUAGCAAACAGGAUUAGAUACCCUUGUAGUA
This 462-nucleotide ribosomal RNA is filed under the name Vreelandella stevensii. Its description in RNAcentral is "partial 16S ribosomal RNA". It matches the Rfam family "Bacterial small subunit ribosomal RNA", at positions 338 to 795 of the family's 1533-position model. The record is from RNAcentral. Lineage: Bacteria; Pseudomonadati; Pseudomonadota; Gammaproteobacteria; Oceanospirillales; Halomonadaceae.